GACGAACGCUGGCGGCGUGCUUAACACAUGCAAGUCGAACGGAAAGGCCCUGCUUUUGUGGGGUGCUCGAGUGGCGAACGGGUGAGUAACACGUGAGUAACCUGCCCUUGACUUUGGGAUAACUUCAGGAAACUGGGGCUAAUACCGGAUAGGAGCUCCUGCUGCAUGGUGUGGGUUGGAAAGUUUCGGCGGUUGGGGAUGGACUCGCGGCUUAUCAGCUUGUUGGUGGGGUAGUGGCUUACCAAGGCUUUGACGGGUAGCCGGCCUGAGAGGGUGACCGGCGACAUUGGGACUGAGAGACGGCGCAGACGCCAACGGGAGGCAGCAGUGGGGAAUAUUGCACAGUGGGGGGGAGUGUGAGGCAGCAACGCCGCGUGCGUGAUGACCGGCUUCGGGUUGUAAACCGCUUUGGCCUGUGACGAAGAGUGAGUGACGGUAAUGGGUAAAGAAGCACCGGCUAACUACGUG
RNAcentral lists this ribosomal RNA (468 nucleotides) under uncultured bacterium. Its description in RNAcentral is "partial 16S ribosomal RNA". It matches the Rfam family "Bacterial small subunit ribosomal RNA", at positions 28 to 507 of the family's 1533-position model. The record is from RNAcentral.